GAUUGAACGCUGGCGGCAUGCUUUACACAUGCAAGUCGAACGGUAACAGGCCUUCGGGUGCUGACGAGUGGCGAACGGGUGAGUAAUGCAUCGGAACGUACCCAGAGGUGGGGGAUAACGCAGCGAAAGCUGUGCUAAUACCGCAUGUGAUCUGAGGAUGAAAGCGGGGGACCGAGCAGCAAUGUUUGGCCUCGCGCCUUUGGAGCGGCCGAUGUCGGAUUAGCUAGUUGGUGGGGUAAAGGCCUACCAAGGCGACGAUCCGUAGCUGGUCUGAGAGGACGACCAGCCACACUGGGACUGAGACACGGCCCAGACUCCUACGGGAGGCAGCAGUGGGGAAUUUUGGACAAUGGGCGCAAGCCUGAUCCAGCCAUGCCGCGUGCGGGAAGAAGGCCUUCGGGUUGUAAACCGCUUUUGGCAGGAACGAAACGGUGUCCGCUAAUACCGGGCGCUAAUGACGGUACCUGCAGAAUAAGCACCGGCUAACUACGUG
This 493-nucleotide ribosomal RNA is filed under the name uncultured bacterium. RNAcentral's name for it is "partial 16S ribosomal RNA". It matches the Rfam family "Bacterial small subunit ribosomal RNA", at positions 27 to 507 of the family's 1533-position model. The record is from RNAcentral.